GGAUUAGAUACCCUGGUAGUCCACGCCGUAAACGAUGUCAACUAGCUGUUGGGUAUAUUAAUUGCUCGGUGGCGUAGCUAACGCGCUAAGUUGACCGCCUGGGGAGUACGGUCGCAAGAUUAAAACUCAAAGGAAUUGACGGGGGCCCGCACAAGCGGUGGAGCAUGUGGUUUAAUUCGAUGCAACGCGAAAAACCUUACCUACCCUUGACAUCAUCAGAACUUGUUAGAGAUAACUCGGUGCCUUCGGGAACUGAUUGACAGGUGCUGCAUGGCUGUCGUCAGCUCGUGUCG
RNAcentral lists this ribosomal RNA (293 nucleotides) under uncultured bacterium. RNAcentral describes it as "partial 16S ribosomal RNA". It matches the Rfam family "Bacterial small subunit ribosomal RNA", at positions 775 to 1067 of the family's 1533-position model. The record is from RNAcentral.